This 130-nucleotide ribosomal RNA is filed under the name Microcebus murinus (gray mouse lemur). The record is from RNAcentral. Lineage: Eukaryota; Metazoa; Chordata; Mammalia; Primates; Cheirogaleidae.
GUCUUCAGCCAUACCACCCUGAACAUGCCUGAUCUCAUCUGAUCUCAGAAGCUAAGCAGGAUCAGGCCUGGUUAGUACUUGGAUGGGAGAAUUAUUGUGUUUCUUUGGAGUUCCUCAGUGGCUCAGGCUU